CUCAUGGUUUCACGGUAUUGCAAUGAGAACAAUUUAAAACCCUUAGCGAGAAUCAAGUGGAGGACAAGUCUGGUGCCAGCACCCGCGGUAAUUCCAGCUCCACUAGCGUAUAUUAAAGUUGUUGCAGUUAAAAAGCUCGUAGUUGAACCUCUGUCUGGGGCUAGUUUUGGCUUUGGUCAGGCUAGUUCUAGGCAUCCGCCUACAAGACUUAGAGGGCAUUCAGUUGUUCACCAGGAGGAGUAGGCAUUUUACUUUGAAAAAAUUAGAGUGUUUAAGGCAGGCAAUCGCCCGCAUAUAUUAGCAUGGAAUAAUAGAAUAGGACACUUUUCCAUUUCGUUGGUUAUUGGAAUCGUGUAAUGAUUAAUAGGGACAGUUGUGGGCAUUUGUAUUUAAUUGUCAGAGGUGAAAUUCUUCAUUUAUUAAAGACAAGCUAACGCGAAAGCAUUUGCCAAGGAUGUUUUCAUUAAUCAAGUACGAAAGUUAGGGGAUCAAAGACGAUCAGAUACCGUCCUAGUCUUAACUAUAAACUAUUCCGACUCAAUGUUUGACUGGCUUAUAUAACCAGUUGAGCGUUGUAUGAGAAAUCAAAGUCUUUAGGUUCUGGGGGGAGUAUGGUUGCAAAGCUGAAACUUAAAGGAAUUGACGGAAGAGCACAACCAGGAGUGGAUUCUGCGGCUUAAUUUGACUCAACACGGGGAAACUUACCAGGUUAAAACAAUAGUGGGAUUGACAGUUUGAGAGCGCUUUCUUGAUUGGUUGGGUGGUGGUGCAUGGCCGUUCUUAGUUGGUGGAGUGAUUUGUCUGCUUAAUUGCGUUAACGAACGAGACCUUAACCUGCUUACUAGACUGGCGAUCAUCAAUCGUUAGCUCUUCUUAGAGGGACUUUGGUUGUUUUAACUCCAAGGAAGUUUGAGGCAAUAACAGGUCUGUGAUGCCCUUAGAUAUCCUGGGCCGCACGCGUCAUACAAUGACUAGUUCAGAAAGUUUUCUCCUGACCCGAAAGGGGAUGGGUAAUCUUGAUAAUACUAGUCGUGUUAGGGAUCGAUCUUUGCAAUUAUAGAUCUUGAACGAGGAAUUCCUAGUAAGUGCGGUUCAUCAGACCGUACUGAUUACGUCCCUGCUCUUUGUACACACCGCCCGUCGCUUCUACCGAGUGGGUGGUCCGGUGAGA
RNAcentral lists this ribosomal RNA (1171 nucleotides) under metagenome. Its description in RNAcentral is "SSU rRNA". It matches the Rfam family "Eukaryotic small subunit ribosomal RNA", at positions 493 to 1706 of the family's 1831-position model. The record is from RNAcentral.